Molecule: long non-coding RNA, 202 nt
Filed under: Mytilus galloprovincialis (Mediterranean mussel)
Lineage: Eukaryota; Metazoa; Mollusca; Bivalvia; Mytilida; Mytilidae
Source: RNAcentral
GGGGUAUCUGUUAUUUUUUUUUAGAUUUUCACUGGGUUUUUUUAGUUGGAAUAUAUGUUGCUGUAUAUGUUUUGGAGCAACAAACAGUCCAACAUUCAUAGGUUAUUUCUUUCAGAUCUCAUUUUCACAGCUAUUUUGAGUCUUUUCUUAUCCAUUAAAUUUUGUGUAUUCUCAACUUUUUAAUCACGAACCAAAGAUUUUU